Molecule: ribosomal RNA, 482 nt
Filed under: uncultured bacterium
Lineage: Bacteria
Description: bacterial SSU rRNA
Rfam family: Bacterial small subunit ribosomal RNA
Source: RNAcentral
AUUGAACGCUGGCGGCAUGCUUUACACAUGCAAGUCGAACGGUAACAGGCCUUCGGGUGCUGACGAGUGGCGAACGGGUGAGUAAUGCAUCGGAACGUGCCCAAUCGGUGGGGGAUAACGUAGCGAAAGUUACGCUAAUACCGCAUAUUCUGUGAGCAGGAAAGCAGGGGAUCGCAAGACCUUGCGCUGAUUGAGCGGCCGAUAUCAGAUUAGCUAGUUGGUGAGGUAAAGGCUCACCAAGGCGACGAUCUGUAGCGGGUCUGAGAGGAUGAUCCGCCACACUGGAACUGAGACACGGUCCAGACUCCUACGGGAGGCAGCAGUGGGGAAUUUUGGACAAUGGGCGCAAGCCUGAUCCAGCCAUGCCGCGUGCGGGACGAAGGCCUUCGGGUUGUAAACCGCUUUCAGCCGGAAAGAAAUCGCCGUUUUAAUACAGACGGUGGAUGACGGUACCGGAAGAAGAAGCACCGGCUAACUACGUG